GAAACGCGGCUUUCCCCUCCCUCUUUCCUCGGCUACGUAAAAGCGGUCGGGUGCCCGGCGGCUACUCCGGAGAAACAGGUGCCUCUUCCUUUAAAAUGUUGGUUCAGUGACUCAGUGCUGCACACAUGUUUCUUUAUACAGAAGGUGUUCUUACCUGUUGUGAGUCAGCUAUUAGCAAGAAAAGGAACAGCUUCAAGCACCCACAGUGAAACUCUGAACAAAAGUCUUUCAAAAUGGAUGCCCUCCAGAUGUUCUGGAUUCAUGUUCUCAUAAUCUACAGUCAGCAUGGACAAUGGUACAUCAAGCUGAAAAAAAAUAACCUAGAAUAAACCCUGCC
Molecule: non-coding RNA, 337 nt
Organism: Python bivittatus (Burmese python)
Lineage: Eukaryota; Metazoa; Chordata; Lepidosauria; Squamata; Pythonidae
Source: RefSeq, a predicted model, not a curated record